This 495-nucleotide ribosomal RNA is filed under the name uncultured bacterium. Its description in RNAcentral is "partial 16S ribosomal RNA". It matches the Rfam family "Bacterial small subunit ribosomal RNA", at positions 28 to 507 of the family's 1533-position model. The record is from RNAcentral.
GAUGAACGCUGGCGGCGUGCCUAAUACAUGCAAGUAGAACGCUGAAGGAGGAGCUUGCUCUUCUGGAUGAGUUGCGAACGGGUGAGUAACGCGUAGGUAACCUGCCUUGUAGCGGGGGAUAACUAUUGGAAACGAUAGCUAAUACCGCAUGACAACAGUUAUUGCAUGAUAACUGUUUAAAAGGGGCAACUGCUCCACUACCAGAUGGACCUGCGUUGUAUUAGCUAGUUGGUGAGGUAACGGCUCACCAAGGCGACGAUACAUAGCCGACCUGAGAGGGGGAUCGGCCACACUGGGACUGAGACACGGCCCAGACUCCUACGGGAGGCAGCAGUAGGGAAUCUUCGGCAAUGGACGGAAGUCUGACCGAGCAACGCCGCGGGAGUGAAGAAGGUUUUCGGAUCGUAAAGCUCUGUUGUAAGAGAAGAACGAGUGUGAGAGUGGAAAGUUCACACUGUGACGGUAUCUUACCAGAAAGGGACGGCUAACUACGUG